This is a non-coding RNA of Heterocephalus glaber (naked mole-rat), 758 nucleotides long. The record is from RefSeq and is a predicted model, not a curated record. NCBI's taxonomy places the organism in Eukaryota, Metazoa, Chordata, Mammalia, Rodentia, Bathyergidae.
CGGCCAGCGCCGGGCACGGCGUCCUCCCCCGGAAUGCGGGCAGGUGUCUCUGCGUUCUCUCGCCUGGAGGAAUUCCCAGCCAGGGAUUCUUUUCCACUGUUCAUGGAGGAAGUAUGACAGAUGAGAACAAGAAGCUAAAAUGGUCUGAGAGUGCUGAAUGUAAGCCCUCAAUAGGAAGAAAACUGCCCUGUCAUCAAUCUCAACAGUUUGCAUGAAGACUUCUAGCUAAAGGCAGACAUCAAAUAUUUGCUGCUACUAAAGAAAAGGAACAGUCCUCUUCCUUUUCAAGGAGUUAUCAAUGUUCUCAGAGAUUACUAGAAGCACAGGUCUACACAAAACAGAAUGAAAAUUGUUUCUACCCAGGACUCGAAUGCAGUCAAGAGUGUUCAGCUUCCUUCUGCCCACGUGAGGAAUUCAGCUGUGGGCACAUGAACUUCUAUUUCUGAAGGUUUACUGCUGGCUCCCAGCCCAGCUCUGACUCCAGUGAGCAGAUCCAGAUCUUUUUACAUGUCCUUGCCUGUGCGUCCUAGAACGUGGUCAUCAAACUACAAAAGGAACUUUUUUUUACACACCUGUGAUUCCCUAAGAGCUCACUUUGUUGUUUUCUGAAAGAUACUAUAGAUCUCAACCAUAGUGGGGAAUGAGUCAAGUGGAUAUUAUUAUGAACAAUGUGAUUAGCCAUGUUAUUUUGACAAUACUUUAGUCUCACAACAUAUGUAUAUGUACAUGUAUAUGUAUAUGUUGGUGAGGUAUUUCUU